CGGCAACAGCUCAAAUUUGAAAUCUGGCCCCAGGCCCGAGUUGUAAUUUGCAGAGGAUGCUUCUGGCGACGUGCCUUCCGAGUUCCCUGGAACGGGACGCCAUAGAGGGUGAGAGCCCCGUACGGUCGCGCACCUAGCCUCUGUGAAGCUCCUUCGAC
RNAcentral lists this ribosomal RNA (158 nucleotides) under Hypocreales sp. RNAcentral's name for it is "partial large subunit ribosomal RNA". It matches the Rfam family "Eukaryotic large subunit ribosomal RNA", at positions 99 to 261 of the family's 3401-position model. The record is from RNAcentral. Lineage: Eukaryota; Fungi; Ascomycota; Sordariomycetes; Hypocreales.